AUGAAGCGCUCCAGGGAGGACGCGCUCGCCGCCGCCGGGUCGCAGCCCAGCAAGCGCAUCAGCACCAGCAGCGCCGCCGCCGCCGUCGCUCGAUCCGAUCCGUCGCCGCCGCAGCCCAUGCCUCCGGCGGGGUCGGGGUCGGCGCUGGUGCCGGCGCCGCCGCCCCAGGCCGUGGCCGCCCUGCCGGCGCAGCCGUCCGGCGGGUCUGGGGCCGCCACUGCUGCUGCCGCCGCCGCCGCCGGCCAGAAGCUGACGACCAACGACGCCCUCGUCUACCUCAAGGCCGUCAAGGACAAGUUCCAGGACAACCGCGCCAAGUACGAGGAGUUCCUCGAGGUCAUGCGCGACUUCAAGAGCGAGAGGAUCGAUACCAACGGGGUGAUUAUCCGCGUGAAGACCCUCUUCAACGGGUACCCCGAGCUGAUCCUCGGGUUCAACACCUUCUUGCCCAAGGGCUUCGCAAUCAGGCUGCAGCAGGAUGAGAAGAAGCCUGUGGAUUUCGCGGAGGCCAUCAACUUCGUGAACAAGAUAAAGAGUCGGUUCCAGCGUGACGAGCAUGUGUACAAGUCCUUCCUGGACAUUCUCAACAUGUACCGCAAGGAUAACAAGUCCAUCCAAGAUGUUUACCAUGAGGUUGCUGUGCUGUUCAGCGACCACAAAGACUUGCUCGAAGAAUUCCAGCACUUCUUGCCUGACACCUCAGCGUCUCCGCAAGCAGGGACCGCUCCAAGAGGCGGCUUAGUUAAGCGGGAAGCUCUAAUGCCCCCUGCUAGUAGGGGUCACAUUGAAAAGCCUAGGGCUUUUCCAUCUCAUACCGACCGUGACGCCAGUGUCGAUCGUCCUGAUGUGGACCAUGAUCGCCAAAGACAACGGGAGAAGAACAAGGAACGCAAGGCAGAAAGAGAGAGAAGGGAUUAUGAUAGAGAUGAUAAGGAUGGUGAACAAGACAGCAAAGAGCUGGAUGUUGGCCAGCGUAAGCGCAAACCUUUUCCAAGCGCAAACCUUGUAGGUGCUGAGGCACACCAAGGAGGCCACCCUGAGAUUCAUGGAAUUAAUAGUGCCUCUGCCUCAUCGUAUGAUAAUAAGGAUGCGUUAAAGAGUGGAUACACACAGGAGUUCCAUUUCUGCGAAAAAGUCAAGGAUAAGCUGGAAUAUGAUGCUUACCAGGAGUUCUUGAAAUGUCUUCACAUAUACAGCCAGGAAAUUAUUACGAGGAGUGAACUGAAGAACUUGGUGAGCGAUAUACUACAACACUACCCCGAUCUUAUGGAUGGAUUUAAUGAAUUCUUGGAACAUUGUGAAAAUAUAGAUGGAUUUCUGGCUGGAGUCUUCAGUAAAAAGCAACCUGGAAGGCUAAUCAAGACAGAGGAUAAAGAAAGAGAUAAGGAGCAUGAGAGGGAGGAUAGGAACAGAGAUCGGGACAAGGAAAGAGAAAAGGAACGGGAAAGACUACAUCCAAAGGAAGGUUCUAGCCAGAAACCCUCGGUUGUCAAAGAGAAGUAUCUAUGCAAACCAAUAUCAGAGCUUGAUCUCUCAAAUUGUCAGCGAUGCACUCCAAGUUACCGGCUUCUACCUAAAAAUUACCCAAUGCCUCCGGCAGGCAACAAGACUGAUCUUGGUGCCUCGGUUCUUAAUGAUCACUGGGUGUCAGUGACAUCAGGGAGUGAAGACUAUUCCUUUAAGCACAUGCGCAAGAAUCAGUAUGAAGAAAGUUUAUUUAGAUGCGAAGAUGACAGGUUCGAAUUGGAUAUGCUGUUGGAAUCAGUUAAUGCAGCAACUAAGCGUGUCGAGGAGUUGAUAGAAAAAAUGCAAGAUAACUCAGUAAAACCAGAAAGCCCAAUACGCAUCGAUGAGCACUUGACUCCUUUGAAUCUAAGGUGCAUUGAACGGUUAUAUGGUGACCAUGGUCUGGAUGUGAUGGACGUUCUUCGAAGAAAUGCUAGUGUUGCACUGCCUGUUAUCUUAUCCAGGCUAAAACAAAAGCAGGAGGAAUGGUCAAGGUGUCGAUCAGAUUUCAACAAGGUUUGGGCUGAUAUUUACGCCAAGAAUUAUCACAAGUCACUUGAUCAUCGCAGUUUCUAUUUCAAGCAGCAAGACUCGAAGAAUCUCAGCACAAAAUCUCUACUGACUGAGAUUAAAGAAAUUAAUGAGAAGAAAAGAAAGGAAGACGAUGUUCUCAUUGCUAUCGCUGCUGGAAAUAGGCGGCCUAUAGUUCCCAAUAUGUCAUUUGAGUAUGUAGAUGCAAAUAUCCAUGAUGAUCUUUAUAAGAUCGUGAAGUACUCGUGUGGAGAAGUCUGUGGCUCAGACCAACUGGACAAAGUGAUGAAGAUUUGGACAACUUUUCUGGAGCCUAUUUUGGGCAUUCCGCCUCGAUCCCACGGUACUGUGGAUGCAGAUCUAACUAAACCCAAGAAUGGGAUCACAAAAUCUGGUACUGCAAUUAUGGGGGAAAGCAAUACUUCUCCUGAUGGAGUUGCUGCCCAGCAAGGCCAUGGUGAUGAAAGCAUGCAACAGGAACAAGCACCAUCAGCUGUGGCUAGAUUGUCUAGGUUAGCGAAAGGAGUUGCAGCAGACUCCCAAAAUGGUUCGCAUGAUGCAGAUCGAACUGCUCGUAGAGAUGAGGAAGCAUCAAAUGCUGCACUAAAUGAAGUAUCUGCAGUAAGCACCCAGAACAUGCCUACUGGAAGACCAGCAGGACAACAUAGCCAUAUGAAGGGAAACUCUGAAACUACGCCAGGAGUGAAUGCAUCUAAAAGUUCACAUGCUGGAGUUAGUAUGGCUGCCGGUGCCAGGGCUGGCCAUGAAGUAUUACCAUCUACUGAGGGUGGAGAGACUGGCAAGUCAGGAUCAUCUUUAAAUUGUGGGGCUACCAGCGAGGGUAACAAGGGGCGCCUAUUUAAUGAAGCUGCUGCGCCCCACAAUACUUCGAAAGUUGAAAGAGAGGAAGGUGAAUUAUCGCCUAAUGGAGAUUUUGAAGAGGACAAUUUUGUGCCUUUCGAAGAUGGUGCAUCUAAAACAAAGGAAGGCUCUACAAGCAGAACGUUCAAGGUUAGACCUGGUCAGGUGGAACCUCAUGCUGAGGCAGCCGGCGAGAAUGAUGCUGAUGAUGAGGAAAGCACUCAAAGGUCUACCGAGGACAGUGAAAAUGCUUCUGAGGCUGGUGAAGAUGCAUCAGGAAGUGAAUCUGGUGACGGUGAGCACGGUUCUCCUGAAGAUCAUGACGAGGAAGAAGAUAUGGAUCAUGAUCAGGAUCCGAAGGCAGAAAGUGAGGGUGAGGCAGAGGGGACAACUGAGACCCACGACGUUGAAGGGGGAAUGUCAUUACUUGGAAUAUCAUUACCUUCAUCAGAACGCUUUCUGUACUCGGCUAAACCACUGGCCAAGCAUGUACCCACAUCUUUACAUGGCCGGGAAGAUAGAUCGUCGCAUAUAUUUUAUGGGAAUGAUUCGUUUUACAUCUUGUUCAGGCUGCACCAGAUGCUGUAUGAAAGACUGCUUUCAGCAAAGACAAACUCUUCAAGUGCUGAAAAGAAAUGGAGAACCUCCAAGGAUACAAACCCCCCUGACCUAUAUGCAAGGUUCAUAAAGGCACUCUACAACUUGCUUGAUGGUACUUCUGAUAAUACCAAGUUUGAGGAUGACUGCCGUGCUAUUAUCGGGACCCAGUCAUACGUUCUCUUUACUUUGGAUAAACUGAUAUACAAAGUUGUGAAGCAGCUUCAAGCUAUAGCGACGGAUGAAAUGGACAGCAAGCUUCUCCAGCUUUAUAUGUAUGAGAAGUCAAGAUCCCCUGGGAGGUUCUUUGAUCUCGUCUAUCAUGAAAACGCCCGUGUCCUACUCCAUGAUGAGAGCAUGUAUCGAUUCGAAUGUCGCUCAAGUCCAAUGAGGUUGUCUAUUCAGCUGAUGGAGUAUGGUCAUGAAAAGCCUGAGGUGACUGCGGUAUCCAUUGAGCCAAAUUUUGCCUCGUAUCUUUUCAGCGAGUAUCUGUCAAAUUCGUCAGGCACGAUGUUGCCUGAAGGUGUCUUCCUUGGAAGGCCAUGGAUGGUAUCAAAGUUGCUAAUGGUCUUGAAUGCAAGAUAUCCUGCAAGACCUCUAAGGUCUCCUAUGUCCUUGACACCGAAGAUUUCUUGUUUCGGUUGA
RNAcentral lists this ribosomal RNA (4140 nucleotides) under Triticum aestivum (bread wheat). RNAcentral's name for it is "partial small subunit ribosomal RNA". Lineage: Eukaryota; Viridiplantae; Streptophyta; Magnoliopsida; Poales; Poaceae. The record is from RNAcentral.